RNAcentral lists this ribosomal RNA (253 nucleotides) under uncultured bacterium. RNAcentral's name for it is "partial 16S ribosomal RNA". It matches the Rfam family "Bacterial small subunit ribosomal RNA", at positions 524 to 776 of the family's 1533-position model. The record is from RNAcentral.
UACGUAGGGGGCUAGCGUUGUCCGGAAUCAUUGGGCGUAAAGCGCGCGUAGGCGGCCCGGUAAGUCCGUUGUAAAAGUCAAAGGCUCAACCUUUGAAAGCCGAUGGAUACUGCCGGGCUAGAGUCCGGAAGAGGCGAGUAGAAUUCCUGGUGUAGCGGUGGAAUGCGCAGAUAUCAGGAGGAACACCGGUGGCGAAGGCGGGUCUCUGGGCAGUAACUGACGCUGAGGAGCGAAAGCGUGGGGAGCGAACAGG